Molecule: ribosomal RNA, 292 nt
Filed under: uncultured bacterium
Lineage: Bacteria
Description: partial 16S ribosomal RNA
Rfam family: Bacterial small subunit ribosomal RNA
Source: RNAcentral
GUGUCAGCCGCCGCGGUAAUACGAAGGGGGCGAGCGUUGUUCGGAAUUACUGGGCGUAAAGGGCGCGCAGGCGGCUCUUCAAGUCAGGCGUGAAAGCCCCGGGCUUAACCUGGGAAUUGCGCUUGGGACUGGAGGGCUUGAGUUCGGGAGAGGAGAGUGGAAUUCCCAGUGUAGAGGUGAAAUUCGUAGAUAUUGGGAAGAACACCGGUGGCGAAGGCGGCUCUCUGGACCGAUACUGACGCUGAGGCGCGAAAGCGUGGGGAGCAAACAGGAUUAGAAACCCCUGUAGUCC